CGGCACGGGUGCGUAACGCGUAUGCAACCUACCUUUAACAGGGGGAUAACACUGAGAAAUUGGUACUAAUACCCCAUAAUAUGGGCGCUCCGCAUGGAGAGCCCAUUAAAGAGAGCAAUUUUGGUUACAGACGAGCAUGCGCUCCAUUAGCCAGUUGGCGGGGUAACGGCCCACCAAAGCGACGAUGGAUAGGGGUUCUGAGAGGAAGGUCCCCCACAUUGGAACUGAGACACGGCCCAA
RNAcentral lists this ribosomal RNA (240 nucleotides) under uncultured bacterium. RNAcentral's name for it is "partial 16S ribosomal RNA". It matches the Rfam family "Bacterial small subunit ribosomal RNA", at positions 100 to 334 of the family's 1533-position model. The record is from RNAcentral.